UACGUAGGGUGCGAGCGUUAAUCGGAAUUACUGGGCGUAAAGCGUGCGCAGGCGGUUCGUUAAGUCAGAUGUGAAAGCCCCGGGCUCAACCUGGGAACUGCAUUGGUGACUGGCAGGCUUUGAGUGUGGCAGAGGGAGGUAGAAUUCCACGUGUAGCAGUGAAAUGCGUAGAGAUGUGGAGGAAUACCGAUGGCGAAGGCAGCCUCCUGGGCCAACACUGACGCUCAUGCACGAAAGCGUGGGGAGCAAACAGG
This 254-nucleotide ribosomal RNA is filed under the name uncultured bacterium. RNAcentral describes it as "partial 16S ribosomal RNA". It matches the Rfam family "Bacterial small subunit ribosomal RNA", at positions 524 to 776 of the family's 1533-position model. The record is from RNAcentral.